CAGGCGGUGGAGAACUACUGAGGACUUCUGAGCAGAGAGGUUGGUGGAAGAGGAAGCACCAAAAAUCCAUCUCAUCACCUAGAGAGCAUUGUACUGGCAGAACUGUCUAAAGUGACUAUUUUGGAACUCUGGGAUCAAUUUGAAUACUUGCAGCUUCCAAAGGAAAGGUGGGUAAUCGUGCCUCCAUAAAACAAGAUGGAACCAAAGUUAGGGGUACCUGAUGGGCAAUCACAUCUCCAUACCACAGGACACACCCCUUGGAUGCAUCCUCAAGAACUGGGAAAAGUUUGACCCACAAGCUCUAAAAAGGAAAAGGCUAAUUUUUUUUGUCACACAGCCUGGUUCUGAUAUGGACUUGGGGACCAGCAAUCUUGGCCAGAAAAUGGAAGUAUUAAUUUUAAUACUAUCCAUCAACUAGAUUCGUUUUGCUGCCAGCAGGGAAAAUGGACAGAAAUCCCUUAUGCACAGGCUUUCAUGGCCGUAAGAGACAACCCUGACCUUUGUUGGGCUUGUAAAAUGGACCCAGUGAUGAUAGCAGCCAUCACCAGGCAACCUCCUCCAGUAGAUUUGGGAGACCCUUUAUCAGAUUUGCACAGGGCUCAAGCCCCAGAGGAACCAAAGGUGGAAUUUAGUUCAAACAUUGCCUCUUUUAUUCCCAUUAUAUCCAAGUCUCCCAGUCCCAUAGCCUUCCCCUCCCUACCCAGGGCCACCCUCUGGAUACCACCCCCUUAAGUUAUCCCCACUUCAGGAGGUUAGCAGCCCUAUUGGGUCAACUAGAGUCCAGACUCCAUUCACUAUGUAAGACCUGAGCCAGAUUAAAAUGGAGCUAUGGAAGUUUAUGGAAAACCCUGACUAAUGCAUUGAAGGGUUCCAUUAACUAGGCUUAACAUUUGAACUUACUUGGGAGGACUUCACAGUCACACUAGGCCAAACUCUAAGGGAGAACAUGACUCCAUUAUGGAGGCAGCCCAGCAAUUUGCAAGUGCAAUGCACAUGACUGACCCUGGUGGCUACCUUGUGAGGGCCACUGCCCUUCCCCAGGUUGGCCCCCAACUGGGAAUACAAUACCCAGGGGGGUAUAUGGGCAGUGAACCACAUCCCCAUAAUGGGGAUGAAGGAUAGCAGAGGAAAGCCUGUAAACUACAAUAAAUUGGCCUUAAUAGAUCAAGA
RNAcentral lists this long non-coding RNA (1170 nucleotides) under Homo sapiens (human). RNAcentral's name for it is "HSALNT0053612". Lineage: Eukaryota; Metazoa; Chordata; Mammalia; Primates; Hominidae. The record is from RNAcentral.